RNAcentral lists this ribosomal RNA (460 nucleotides) under uncultured bacterium. RNAcentral's name for it is "partial 16S ribosomal RNA". It matches the Rfam family "Bacterial small subunit ribosomal RNA", at positions 338 to 795 of the family's 1533-position model. The record is from RNAcentral.
CCUACGGGAGGCAGCAGUGAGGAAUAUUGGUCAAUGGCCGUAAGGCUGAACCAGCCAAGUCGCGUGAAGGAAGAAGGAUCUAUGGUUUGUAAACUUCUUUUAUAGGGGAAUAAAGGUAUCCACGUGUGGAUAUUUGCAUGUACCCUAUGAAUAAGCAUCGACUAACUCCGUGCCAGCAGCCGCGGUAAUACGGAGGAUGCGAGCGUUAUCCGGAUUUAUUGGGUUUAAAGGGUGCGUAGGUUGUUUUUUAAGUCAGCGGUGAAAGUUUGUGGCUCAACCAUAACAUUGCCGUUGAAACUGGAAGACGUGAGUGUGUUUGAGGUAGGCGGAAUGCGAGGUGUAGCGGUGAAAUGCAUAGAUAUCACGCAGAACUCCGAUUGCGAAGGCAGCUUACUAAGCCAUAACUGACACUGAAGCACGAAAGCGUGGGGAUCAAACAGGAUUAGAUACCCGUGUAGUC